UCAAGAAAAAACGGGCUGAUCCAACUUCAACCAAAGACUAGAGAGGAGAAACAAAAUGGGAAAAGUACAAAAAGGUACCAGAUCACCAACAAUGUAAUGACUGGGGAUCCUAUGACCAUAUCCAUCUACUUGGUAAGACAAUAAAUUCAGUUGCCCAGAGGGCAAAGCCAUACACUUUCUUUAUUUGAGAUUUCAGAAGUAUAUCACAUCAGCAA
RNAcentral lists this long non-coding RNA (215 nucleotides) under Populus tremula. RNAcentral's name for it is "long non-coding RNA (PTRE_LNC002517)". The record is from RNAcentral. Lineage: Eukaryota; Viridiplantae; Streptophyta; Magnoliopsida; Malpighiales; Salicaceae.